RNAcentral lists this ribosomal RNA (440 nucleotides) under uncultured bacterium. RNAcentral describes it as "partial 16S ribosomal RNA". It matches the Rfam family "Bacterial small subunit ribosomal RNA", at positions 338 to 795 of the family's 1533-position model. The record is from RNAcentral.
CCUACGGGAGGCUGCAGUGGGGGAUAUUGCACAAUGGGGGGAACCCUGAUGCAGCGACGCCGCGUGGGUGAAGAAGCGCCUCGGCGCGUAAAGCCCUGUCAGCAGGGAAGAAAAUGACGGUACCUGAAGAAGAAGCCCCGGCGAACUACGUGCAAGCAGCCGCGGUAAUACGUAGGGGGCAAGCGUUAUCCGGAUUUACUGGGUGUAAAGGGGGCGCAGACGGCGAUGCAAGCCAGGAGUGAAAGCCGGGGGCCCAACCCCGGGACUGCUGUUGGAACUGCGUGGCUGGAGUGCAGGAGAGGCAGGCGGAAUGCGUGGUGUAGCGGUGAAAUGCGUAGAUAUCAGGAAGAACACCGGUGGCGAAGGCGGCCUGCUGGACUGCAACUGACGUUGAGGCCCGAAAGCGUGGGGAGCAAACAGGAUUAGAUACCCUAGUAGUC